GGCGGCGUGCUUAACACAUGCAAGUCGAGCGGAAAGGCCCUUCGGGGGUACUCGAGCGGCGAACGGGUGAGUAACACGUGAGUAACCUGCCCCUAGCUCUGGGAUAAGCCCGGGAAACUGGGUCUAAUACCGGAUAUGACACACUUUUGCAUGAUGGUGUGUGGAAAGUUUUUCGGCUGGGGAUGGGCUCGCGGCCUAUCAGCUUGUUGGUGGGGUGAUGGCCUACCAAGGCGACGACGGGUAGCCGGCCUGAGAGGGCGACCGGCCACACUGGGACUGAGACACGGCCCAGACUCCUACGGGAGGCAGCAGUGGGGAAUAUUGCGCAAUGGGCGGAAGCCUGACGCAGCGACGCCGCGUGGGGGAUGAAGGCCUUCGGGUUGUAAACCUCUUUCACCACCGACGAAGCUAACGUGACGGUAGGUGGGGAAGAAGCGCCGGCUAACUACGUGCCAGCAGCCGCGGUAAUACGUAGGGCGCAAGCGUUGUCCGGAAUUAUUGGGCGUAAAGAGCUCGUAGGCGGUCUGUCGCGUCUGCCGUGAAAACCCGAGGCUUAACCUCGGGCCUGCGGUGGAUACGGGCAGACUAGAGGUAGGUAGGGGAGAAUGGAAUUCCCGGUGUAGCGGUGAAAUGCGCAGAUAUCGGGAGGAACACCGGUGGCGAAGGCGGUUCUCUGGGCCUUACCUGACGCUGAGGAGCGAAAGCGUGGGGAGCGAACAGGAUUAGAUACCCUGGUAGUCCACGCCGUAAACGUUGGGCGCUAGGUGUGGGGUUCUUCCACGGAUUCCGCGCCGUAGCUAACGCAUUAAGCGCCCCGCCUGGGGAGUACGGCCGC
RNAcentral lists this ribosomal RNA (835 nucleotides) under Thermomonosporaceae str. IM-7209. RNAcentral's name for it is "bacterial SSU rRNA". It matches the Rfam family "Bacterial small subunit ribosomal RNA", at positions 38 to 889 of the family's 1533-position model. Lineage: Bacteria; Bacillati; Actinomycetota; Actinomycetes; Streptosporangiales; Thermomonosporaceae. The record is from RNAcentral.